This 253-nucleotide ribosomal RNA is filed under the name uncultured bacterium. RNAcentral describes it as "partial 16S ribosomal RNA". It matches the Rfam family "Bacterial small subunit ribosomal RNA", at positions 524 to 776 of the family's 1533-position model. The record is from RNAcentral.
UACAGAGGGUGCGAGCGUUGUUCGGAAUUAUUGGGCGUAAAGGGCGCGUAGGCGGUGCGGUAAGUCACCUGUGAAAUCUCCUGGCUCAACUGGGAGCUUGCAGGCGAAACUGCCGUGCUGGAGUGUGGGAGAGGUGCGUGGAAUUCCUGGUGUAGAGGUGAAAUGCGUAGAUAUCAGGAGGAACACCAAUGGCGAAGGCAGCCUUCUGGGCCAACACUGACGCUCAUGCACGAAAGCGUGGGGAGCAAACAGG